AUUGAACGCUGGCGGCAGGCCUAACACAUGCAAGUCGAACGGUAACAGGAAGCAGCUUGCUGCUUUGCUGACGAGUGGCGGACGGGUGAGUAAUGUCUGGGAAACUGCCUGAUGGAGGGGGAUAACUACUGGAAACGGUAGCUAAUACCGCAUAACGUCGCAAGACCAAAGAGGGGGACCUUAGGGCCUCUUGCCAUCGGAUGUGCCCAGAUGGGAUUAGCUAGUAGGUGGGGUAACGGCUCACCUAGGCGACGAUCCCUAGCUGGUCUGAGAGGAUGACCAGCCACACUGGAACUGAGACACGGUCCAGACUCCUACGGGAGGCAGCAGUGGGGAAUAUUGCACAAUGGGCGCAAGCCUGAUGCAGCCAUGCCGCGUGUAUGAAGAAGGCCUUCGGGUUGUAAAGUACUUUCAGCGGGGAGGAAGGGAGUAAAGUUAAUACCUUUGCUUAUUGACGUUACCCGCAGAAGAAGCACCGGCUAACUCCGUG
Molecule: ribosomal RNA, 490 nt
Filed under: uncultured bacterium
Lineage: Bacteria
Description: partial 16S ribosomal RNA
Rfam family: Bacterial small subunit ribosomal RNA
Source: RNAcentral